Molecule: ribosomal RNA, 441 nt
Filed under: uncultured bacterium
Lineage: Bacteria
Description: partial 16S ribosomal RNA
Rfam family: Bacterial small subunit ribosomal RNA
Source: RNAcentral
CCUACGGGCGGCUGCAGUGGGGAAUAUUGCACAAUGGGGGGAACCCUGAUGCAGCGACGCCGCGUGAGUGAAGAAGUCUUUCGGUAUGUAAAGCUCUAUCAGCAGGAACGAGACAAGACGGUACCUGACUAAGCAACCCCGGCUUACUACGUGCCAGCAGCCGCGGUAAUACGUAGGGGGAAAGCGUUAUCCGGAAUCACGGGGUGUAACGGGAGCGUAGACGGCGUAGCAAGCCUGAAGUGAAAGGCGGGGGCCCAACCCGCGGCGUGCUUUGGGCACUGUACUGCUGGAGUGCAGGGGAGGUAAGUGGAAUGCCUAGUGUAGCGGUGAAAUGCGUAGAUAUUAGGAGGAACACCAGUGGCGAAGGCGGCUUACGGGACUGUAACUGACGUUGAGGCUCGAAAGCGUGGGGAGCAAACAGGAUUAGAUACCCGAGUAGUC